UACAGAGGUCCCAAGCGUUGUUCGGAUUCACUGGGCGUAAAGGGUGCGUAGGCGGCCGGGUAAGUCUGAUGUGAAAUCCCGCAGCUCAACUGCGGAACUGCAUCGGAUACUCUCCGGCUAGAGGAAUGGAGGGGAGACUGGAAUUCUCGGUGUAGCAGUGAAAUGCGUAGAUAUCGAGAGGAACACCAGUGGCGAAGGCGGAUCUCUGGGCCAUUACUGACGCUGAGGAGCGAAAGCGUGGGGAGCGAACAGG
RNAcentral lists this ribosomal RNA (253 nucleotides) under uncultured bacterium. Its description in RNAcentral is "partial 16S ribosomal RNA". It matches the Rfam family "Bacterial small subunit ribosomal RNA", at positions 524 to 776 of the family's 1533-position model. The record is from RNAcentral.